RNAcentral lists this transfer RNA (57 nucleotides) under Epipenaeon fissurae. RNAcentral describes it as "tRNA-Arg". The record is from RNAcentral. Lineage: Eukaryota; Metazoa; Arthropoda; Malacostraca; Isopoda; Bopyridae.
CUCUUGUUAGUAUAAGGUUAGUACACCUGGUUUCGACCCAGGAGGGAAGACAAGAGU